GGCCAAUCAGAAGUCAGCAGCAAGAGAAGAGCCCGCCUACUCAUGAAGUCGUACACCUGAAGGUCCAGCGAGUGGAGUUGGUAUCAAAGUGUAGGCCUAGUGGAUCCACACCGUGACCUAGUGCACCGGACCCUGUUGAGAUGCAGCCACCUCAACUUCAUGAAGAAACGGCAAGAUUCAGAUGACUACACCGUUUCAGAUCUACUCGUCUCGCUCACCUGUCCACCUGGAUGAAGGAUCACACUCUGCAGCUGAACAUGUCCAAAACCAAGCUCCCAAUCAAAUUGUUCUAGGUUAAUCUCUAACAACAACCUUUUUCUUCACACAUUGUGCCUUGCUGAUUUUGUUUGUUUGCAUAUGUAACUGAGGUAGCCUGGUUUUACCAGACCACAUUAAUUGUUUUGUAAGUAAUUUUAGGUCUGGAUCCUUGGUGUCCUUGAGCACCAGGGCGGGAGAAGUGAGCUCAGCUCUGAUUUGAAAUGAGCUCUGUCCAAUCGCUGACAAUUGACGUAUGUUAUUCUCCCAAGUACGUUCACGCCGGUUGUCAGUGUUGCCAGAUGUACGAUAAUUUAUACCAUAAUUUUGUUCUUCCGCCGGUCAGGUAGCGUAUGUCACACUAAGUAUACAAAGCUUAACACAGUACCAUUAUAGUCCCAAGAUGGAUCAAACAACACAGGUGUUGACAUUAUAUAGCAUGGGCAGCUUAUGAUGAGGAGGGCCAUGUUUUUUUCAGCACCAGCAUCAGGGGUUCACAUGACCAUGGA
Engraulis encrasicolus (European anchovy) is the source of this 764-nucleotide long non-coding RNA. RefSeq lists it as uncharacterized. The record is from RefSeq and is a predicted model, not a curated record. The transcript has 3 exons. Lineage: Eukaryota; Metazoa; Chordata; Actinopteri; Clupeiformes; Engraulidae.